GCCCGCACGGGUGAGUUCUGCAAAGUAAGCAGCGUCAACACUCGGCCAGCCUAUCACCCCUCCAUAAAUUCUUGCGCAAAGCAAUGUUAUGAGCGCUGCGGGCAGCUCCCACCGCCCGCUUUGUUUUCCUUACUCAUUAGUUUAAGGCAGUUUGUAAUGUUGCCCCACUCUUCCCUUUUAAACACUUCACUUAGUUCCUUUCCUGCCAACUUCCGAUGCGGGACUAAAAAAUCCCUCAGUCGGCACCACAAGGGAAUCUCGAUGUGCUUUCUCACCCAGCAGGAGUUCCUCCGCGCCACCGCCCUCGCCGCUGAGCGAGUAAGACUCUUCACCGAAUCCAUCCCCGCCCUGGACGAGGUUUUCGCCAAGUUCGUCACCAUGUACCCCGAAGUACCAGUCCUCCAGCCAAAUCGACGGCCUCCGCCGCGACGAGUACUGCCACCUCGCCUCGCCGACGCCCGGGUUUGCCUCGACUUCUGCGGCUUCAAACACGGCCGAGUACGACGUCAAGAGUUCUGGCGAUUCCCGAGGACUCUCCUCCGGCGCUCCUGGUCAAGAAUCUCUACCUCUCCUGCGAUGCCUACAUACGCGGCAGCAUGGCCAAGCACGACUCGCCUAGCUACGUCCCCGACUUCACUCCCGGCUCUGUGAUUACUGGCUUUGGAGUGAGUAGUGGUGGAAUCCACGCAUCCCGAUUUCAUGGUCGGUGAUCUGAUUACAGCCUCAUCGUCUCUGAUUUGGGGAGUUUCUUCAAGAUCAGAUACACGGACUAUACCGGUCUUCUAGGUUAAACUGAAGGAAUGGCGCAAAACUGGAGGAGAACUACAUCCCAUUAGAUUGCUCCAAGCCCUACAGGAGUUGAGUAAAGGUGAAGCUUUUUCCCUGUUACAAGAGCAAAAGGCAGCAUGUGGUGCUAACUGCUAACCAUCUUCCUCAUGUUGUCUCAUGUGAUGAUAGCACUACAAAAUGUAUCCAGACUAUUAAAAGAAAGCCUAUUCUCUGUCAAACAUUAAUAUGCUUUAAGCAAAGUGAGGUGAGCUUUUGUAUGUGCUGAGAUUAUAUUACUUUGAAGAAAAAAUGAUCAUUUAUUACUCUCUCUCAAAAAGUGUAGGGUAUGCUUGAGUUUGCCAUAGAGAAAGGUCUUUAUUAUGCGGGGUGUGCUGAGGUAGUCGAUUAGGAACUACUCAUGUAUAUGCAUUUGUACUCUUCCUGCUUUAGGCUUCAGCCUUUAAUGUUGUUUCUGUUUGGUAUGUACUUCUACUGCCCCAUCCUUCCUAAUAGCUAUCACCUUCCAAAGGUUUAGUGGAAUUUGAGGAGAAGCAUGCACACAAAAUUUAUUCUAUGAUACCAUCAAGAUCAACCGCCCCAACAGAUGCUACGGGAGAUGUGGCAAUUGCUGGACAUGCAAUCAGUUCUUAUCCUUCGAUUCCUUCAGUGCUUUAGCUUGAAUACCAGAGUAGAUGCUAUUGUCUUUAUGGAAUUGCUGAGCUAUGGUUGUUAUGGGAGAGUGAAAAAGAGCAAGAGUUCAUGGCGAAUCAACAAUGAGAAGAGAAACUUGGCCUGCUAUGAUCAGAACAAUCCAAAACCUGAAGAAUCCAAUGAACCGCAUUGUUAUAUUCUUUAUUUUCCAGGCAGCUUCAGUUAAAUUAAAGAGAAGGUGGAACCAGAAAAACUUUCAAAGGGAAGCUUGAGAUCUGACAUUCCAUUGUGAUCCUCUUUAUUAGAAGAACAUAAAGAGUUAAGCUUCCUCCUCAUCGAUUAAGAGC
Molecule: long non-coding RNA, 1766 nt
Organism: Zingiber officinale
Lineage: Eukaryota; Viridiplantae; Streptophyta; Magnoliopsida; Zingiberales; Zingiberaceae
Exons: 6
Source: RefSeq, a predicted model, not a curated record